AGAGUUUGAUCAUGGCUCAGAAUCAACGCUGGCGGCGUGCCUCAGACAUGCAAGUCGAACGCGAAAGUUCCCUUCGGGGGGCGAGUAGAGUGGCGCACGGGUGAGUAACACGUAGGUAAUCUACCUUCGGAUGGGGAAUAACAACCGGAAACGGUUGCUAAUACCGCAUAAUGCAGCGGCACCUAAUGGUGACAGUUGUUAAAGCGGGGGAUCGUAAGACCUCGCGUCUGGAGAGGAGCCUGCGGCGGAUUAGCUAGUUGGUAAGGUAACGGCUUACCAAGGCUAUGAUCCGUAGCCGGCCUGAGAGGGCGGUCGGCCACACUGACACUGUCAUACGGGUCAGACUCCUACGGGAGGCAGCAGUCGGGAAUUUUGGGCAAUGGGCGACAGCCUGACCCAGCAACGCCGCGUGAAGGAUGAAAUCCUUCGGGAUGUAAACUUCGCAAGAACGGGAAGAAUAAGCCGGUAUUAACACCACCGGUGAUGACGGUACUGCUUGUAAGCUCCGGCUAACUCCGUGCCAGCCGCCGCGGUAAUUC
This 539-nucleotide ribosomal RNA is filed under the name uncultured bacterium. RNAcentral's name for it is "bacterial SSU rRNA". It matches the Rfam family "Bacterial small subunit ribosomal RNA", at positions 8 to 526 of the family's 1533-position model. The record is from RNAcentral.